UACGGAGGAUGCAAGCGUUAUCCGGAUUUAUUGGGUUUAAAGGGUGCGCAGGUUGUUUGAUAAGUCAGUGGUGAAAGUCUGUCGCUUAACGGUAGGAUUGCCAUUGAUACUGUUAGACUUGAAUAUGGAUGAGGUAGGCGGAAUGUGUAGUGUAGCGGUGAAAUGCAUAGAUAUUACACAGAACACCGAUUGCGAAGGCAUCUCACAAAGCCGUUAUUGACGCUGAGGCACGAAAGUGUGGGGAUCAAACAGGAUUA
Molecule: ribosomal RNA, 257 nt
Filed under: uncultured prokaryote
Description: partial 16S ribosomal RNA
Rfam family: Bacterial small subunit ribosomal RNA
Source: RNAcentral